GACGAACGCUGGCGGCGUGCCUAAUACAUGCAAGUUGAGCGCUGAAGGUUGGUACUUGUACCAACUGGAUGAGCAGCGAACGGGUGAGUAACGCGUGGGGAAUCUGCCUUUGAGCGGGGGACAACAUUUGGAAACGAAUGCUAAUACCGCAUAAAAACUUUAAACACAAGUUUUAAGUUUGAAAGAUGCAAUUGCAUCACUCAAAGAUGAUCCCGCGUUGUAUUAGCUAGUUGGUGAGGUAAAGGCUCACCAAGGCGAUGAUACAUAGCCGACCUGAGAGGGUGAUCGGCCACAUAGGGACUGAGACACGGCCCAAACUCCUACGGGAGGCAGCAGUAGGGAAUCUUCGGCAAUGGACGAAAGUCUGACCGAGCAACGCCGCGUGAGUGAAGAAGGUUUUCGGAUCGUAAAACUCUGUUGGUAGAGAAGAACGUUGGUGAGAGUGGAAAGCUCAUCAAGUGACGGUAACUACCCAGAAAGGGACGGCUAACUACGUG
RNAcentral lists this ribosomal RNA (497 nucleotides) under uncultured bacterium. RNAcentral describes it as "partial 16S ribosomal RNA". It matches the Rfam family "Bacterial small subunit ribosomal RNA", at positions 28 to 507 of the family's 1533-position model. The record is from RNAcentral.